ACCCUCUCAGGGUCACACCUGGAGAGUUUCCAGUACUCUGCCAGUCUGGGCUGCCAGAGGCAGAGUCAAGCAGAGCCCUAUUCAUUUCAUUCCUAGCUUGGCCAGUGGCUAGCGAGUGGAAGGCAGUCUGCUACAAAU
Ornithorhynchus anatinus (platypus) is the source of this 138-nucleotide small nucleolar RNA. The record is from RefSeq and is a predicted model, not a curated record. Lineage: Eukaryota; Metazoa; Chordata; Mammalia; Monotremata; Ornithorhynchidae.